GGCGGACGGGUGAGUAAUGCUUAGGAAUCUGCCUAUUAGUGGGGGACAACAUCUCGAAAGGGAUGCUAAUACCGCAUACGUCCUACGGGAGAAAGCAGGGGAUCUUCGGACCUUGCGCUAAUAGAUGAGCCUAAGUCGGAUUAGCUAGUUGGUGGGGUAAAGGCCUACCAAGGCGACGAUCUGUAGCGGGUCUGAGAGGAUGAUCCGCCACACUGGGACUGAGACACGGCCCAGACUCCUACGGGAGGCAGCAGUGGGGAAUAUUGGACAAUGGGGGGAACCCUGAUCCAGCCAUGCCGCGUGUGUGAAGAAGGCCUUAUGGUUGUAAAGCACUUUAAGCGAGGAGGAGGCUACUUUAGUUAAUACCUAGAGAUAGUGGACGUUACUCGCAGAAUAAGCACCGGCUAACUCUGUGCCAGCAGCCGCGGUAAUACAGAGGGUGCGAGCGUUAAUCGGAUUUACUGGGCGUAAAGCGUGCGUAGGCGGCUUAUUAAGUCGGAUGUGAAAUCCCCGAGCUUAACUUGGGAAUUGCAUUCGAUACUGGUGAGCUAGAGUAUGGGAGAGGAUGGUAGAAUUCCAGGUGUAGCGGUGAAAUGCGUAGAGAUCUGGAGGAAUACCGAUGGCGAAGGCAGCCAUCUGGCCUAAUACUGACGCUGAGGUACGAAAGCAUGGGGAGCAAACAGGAUUAGAUACCCUGGUAGUCCAUGCCGUAAACGAUGUCUACUAGCCGUUGGGGCCUUUGAGGCUUUAGUGGCGCAGCUAACGCGAUAAGUAGACCGCCUGGGGAGUACGGUCGCAAGACUAAAACUCAAAUGAAUUGACGGGGGCCCGCACAAGCGGUGGAGCAUGUGGUUUAAUUCGAUGCAACGCGAAGAACCUUACCUGGCCUUGACAUACUAGAAACUUUCCAGAGAUGGAUUGGUGCCUUCGGGAAUCUAGAUACAGGUGCUGCAUGGCUGUCGUCAGCUCGUGUCGUGAGAUGUUGGGUUAAGUCCCGCAACGAGCGCAACCCUUUUCCUUACUUGCCAGCAUUUCGGAUGGGAACUUUAAGGAUACUGCCAGUGACAAACUGGAGGAAGGCGGGGACGACGUCAAGUCAUCAUGGCCCUUACGGCCAGGGCUACACACGUGCUACAAUGGUCGGUACAAAGGGUUGCUACACAGCGAUGUGAUGCUAAUCUCAAAAAGCCGAUCGUAGUCCGGAUUGGAGUCUGCAACUCGACUCCAUGAAGUCGGAAUCGCUAGUAAUCG
Molecule: ribosomal RNA, 1251 nt
Filed under: Acinetobacter baumannii
Lineage: Bacteria; Pseudomonadati; Pseudomonadota; Gammaproteobacteria; Moraxellales; Moraxellaceae
Description: bacterial SSU rRNA
Rfam family: Bacterial small subunit ribosomal RNA
Source: RNAcentral